GAGUUUGAUCCUGGCUCAGAGUGAACGCUGGCGGCAGGCCUAACACAUGCAAGUCGAACGGCAGCGCAGCAGUAGCAAUACUGUGGGCGGCGAGUGGCGGACGGGUGAGGAAUACAUCGGAAUCUACCUUGUCGUGGGGGAUAACGUAGGGAAACUUACGCUAAUACCGCAUACGAACCAUGGUUGAAAGCGGCGGACCGCAAGGCGUCGCGCGAUUGGAUGAGCCGAUGUCCGAUUAGCUAGUUGGCGGGGUAAAGGCCCACCAAGGCGACGAUCGGUAGCUGGUCUGAGAGGAUGAUCAGCCACACUGGAACUGAGACACGGUCCAGACUCCUACGGGAGGCAGCAGUGGGGAAUAUUGGACAAUGGGCGCAAGCCUGAUCCAGCCAUGCCGCGUGUGUGAAGAAGGCCUUCGGGUUGUAAAGCACUUUUGUUGGGGAAGAAAAGACACCGGUUAAUACCCGGGGUUUCUGACGGUACCCAAAGAAUAAGCACCGGCUAACUUCGUGCCAGCAGCCGCGGUAUUC
Molecule: ribosomal RNA, 527 nt
Filed under: uncultured bacterium
Lineage: Bacteria
Description: bacterial SSU rRNA
Rfam family: Bacterial small subunit ribosomal RNA
Source: RNAcentral